GCUGCAUGGCUGUCGUCAGCUCGUGUCGUGAGAUGUUGGGUUAAGUCCCGCAACGAGCGCAACCCUCGCCUUCAGUUGCCAUCAGUUCGGCUGGGCACUCUGGAGGAACUGCCGGUGACAAGCCGGAGGAAGGUGGGGAUGACGUCAAGUCCUCAUGGCCCUUACGGGUUGGGCUACACACGUGCUACAAUGGCGAUGACAGUGGGAUGCAAGCGUGCGAGCGUGAGCUAAUCUCCAAAAGUCGUCUCAGUUCGGAUUGUUCUCUGCAACUCGAGAGCAUGAAGUCGGAAUCGCUAGUAAUCGCUUAUCAGCAUGAAGCGGUGAAUACGUUCCCGGGCCUUGUACACACCGCC
RNAcentral lists this ribosomal RNA (353 nucleotides) under Oxyrrhis marina. RNAcentral describes it as "partial Bacterial small subunit ribosomal RNA". It matches the Rfam family "Bacterial small subunit ribosomal RNA", at positions 1040 to 1394 of the family's 1533-position model. Lineage: Eukaryota; Dinophyceae; Oxyrrhinales; Oxyrrhinaceae. The record is from RNAcentral.